UGGGGAAACCCAGUGUGAUUCGUCACACUAUCAUUAACUGAAUCCAUAGGUUAAUGAGGCGAACCGGGGGAACUGAAACAUCUAAGUACCCCGAGGAAAAGAAAUCAACCGAGAUUCCCCCAGUAGCGGCGAGCGAACGGGGAGGAGCCCAGAGCCUGAAUCAGCAUGUGUGUUAGUGGAAGCGUCUGGAAAGGCGCGCGAUACAGGGUGACAGCCCCGUACACAAAAGCGCAUGUGCUGUGAGCUCGAUGAGUAGGGCGGGACACGUGGUAUCCUGUCUGAAUAUGGGGGGACCAUCCUCCAAGGCUAAAUACUCCUGACUGACCGAUAGUGAACCAGUACCGUGAGGGAAAGGCGAAAAGAACCCCGGCGAGGGGAGUGAAAAAGAACCUGAAACCGUGUACGUACAAGCAGUGGGAGCACAGGUUUACCUGUGUGACUGCGUACCUUUUGUAUAAUGGGUCAGCGACUUAU
Molecule: ribosomal RNA, 474 nt
Filed under: Salmonella enterica subsp. enterica serovar Berta
Lineage: Bacteria; Pseudomonadati; Pseudomonadota; Gammaproteobacteria; Enterobacterales; Enterobacteriaceae
Description: partial 23S ribosomal RNA
Rfam family: Bacterial large subunit ribosomal RNA
Source: RNAcentral